This 1289-nucleotide unclassified non-coding RNA is filed under the name Hevea brasiliensis (rubber tree). The record is from RNAcentral. Lineage: Eukaryota; Viridiplantae; Streptophyta; Magnoliopsida; Malpighiales; Euphorbiaceae.
ACCACCUGUUGUUGCCGAUCUAAACGGUGACGGGAGGAAGGAAGUGCUUGUCGCUACUCAUGAUGCCAAAAUUCAGGUUUUGGAACCACAUUCUAGGCGUGUUGAUGAAGGCUUCAGUGAAGCACGGUUGCUCGCGGAGGUGUCCCUCUUGCCAGACAAAAUUCGUAUUGUCUCAGGAAGACGAGCGGUGGCGAUGGCCACUGGUGUGAUAGAUAGGAACUAUAAUCACAGGGAGCCUCGAAAACAGGUCCUAGUUGUUGUUACCUCAGGUUGGUCUGUGAUGUGUUUCGAUCACAAUCUCAAAAAGCUAUGGGAGGUCAACUUGCAGGAGGAUUUUCCACACAAUGCUCAUCACAGGGAGAUAGCAAUUUCCAUAAGUAAUUAUACUGUAAAGCAUGGAGAUUCAGGUUUGGUGAUUGUUGGCGGACGGAUGGAAAUGCAGCCUCAUAUGCAUAUUGAUCCAUUUGAAGAGAUUGAAAUGGCUGAGAAAAGUGCAGAGCAGCAUAGAAGAAGUGCUGCUGAGAAGGAGGCAUCUGAGAAUUCAGGAGUUGUGGAUUUACGCCAUUUUGCCCUUUAUGCACUUGCUGGUCGGACCGGCCAACUACGUUGGAGCAGGAAGAUAGAGAAUAUUCAGUCGCCAUCUUCUGAUGAAUCUCUUCUGAUUCCACAACAUAAUUACAAACUUGAUGCUCAUGCUUUGAACAUUCGUCAUCCUGGGGAGUACGAAUGUCGGGAAUUUAGAGAAUCUAUUCUUGGAGUUAUGCCACAUAACUGGGAUCGGCGAGAAGACACCAGGUUAAAGUUGGCACACUUCAGGCAACACAAAAGGAAGGCGGUUAAGAAAGUACCUGGGAAGUCCACUACUUACCCUUUCCAGAAGCCUGAGGAAAAGCAUACUCCUGGGAAGGACACUACCAAAAGAAUCUCAAAUGCUAUAGGAAAGGCAGUAAAUUAUGCAAAAUCGGCAAAACCCAAAAAGCCUUCGCCCUAUAUACCUACUAUUACCAAUUAUACCCAGCUCUGGUGGGUCCCUAACGUUGUCGUGGCUCAUGAGAAGGAAGGAAUUGAAGCUGUUCAUAUAGCAACGGGACGUACAGUGUGCAAGCUUCACCUCCUAGAAGGCGGGCUUCAUGCAGAUAUUAAUGGCGAUGGAGUGUUGGACCAUGUCCAGGUUGUUGGGGCCAAUGGUGCUGAACAGACUGUUGUUAGUGGAUCAAUGGAGGUGCUGCGUCCCUGUUGGGCUGUUGCCACCUCUGGUGUUCCAGUGCGAGAACAGCUUUUCAAUGCUU